UGGGUAACCUGCCUCAAAGAGGGGAAUAGCCUCCCGAAAGGGGAGAUUAAUACCGCAUAAUAUGUUUAAGUCGCAUGACUUUAACAUCAAAGGAUUUUCUUUCAGAAGUUCCACUUUGAGAUGGACCCGCGGUGCAUUAGCUAGUUGGUGAGGUAACGGCUCACCAAGGCAACGAUGCGUAGCCGACCUGAGAGGGUGAUCGGCCACAUUGGAACUGAGACACGGUCCAGACCUCUACGGGAG
RNAcentral lists this ribosomal RNA (243 nucleotides) under uncultured bacterium. RNAcentral's name for it is "partial 16S ribosomal RNA". It matches the Rfam family "Bacterial small subunit ribosomal RNA", at positions 118 to 347 of the family's 1533-position model. The record is from RNAcentral.